RNAcentral lists this ribosomal RNA (459 nucleotides) under uncultured bacterium. RNAcentral describes it as "partial 16S ribosomal RNA". It matches the Rfam family "Bacterial small subunit ribosomal RNA", at positions 338 to 795 of the family's 1533-position model. The record is from RNAcentral.
CCUACGGGAGUCAGCAGUGAGGAAUAUUGGUCAAUGGGCGCGAGCCUGAACCAGCCAAGUCGCGUGAGGGAAGACGGUCCUAUGGAUUGUAAACCUCUUUUGUCGGGGAGCAAAAGACGCCACGCGUGGCGCUCCGAGAGUACCCGAAGAAAAAGCAUCGGCUAACUCCGUGCCAGCAGCCGCGGUAAUACGGAGGAUGCGAGUGUUAUCCGGAUUUAUUGGGUUAAAAGGGUGCGCAGGCGGAAGAUCAAGUCAGCGGUAAAGUUGAGAGGCUCAACCUCUUCGAGCCGUUGAAACUGGUUUUCUUGAGUGAGUGAGAAGUAUGCGGAAUGCGUGGUGUAGCGGUGAAAUGCAUAGAUAUCACGCAGAACUCCGAUUGCGAAGGCAGCAUACCGGCGCUCAACUGACGCUCAUGCACGAAAGUGUGGGUAUCGAACAGGAUUAGAUACCCUGGUAGUC